This 253-nucleotide ribosomal RNA is filed under the name uncultured bacterium. RNAcentral's name for it is "partial 16S ribosomal RNA". It matches the Rfam family "Bacterial small subunit ribosomal RNA", at positions 524 to 776 of the family's 1533-position model. The record is from RNAcentral.
UACGGAGGGGGCUAGCGUUGUUCGGAAUUACUGGGCGUAAAGCGUGCGCAGGCGGCUAUGCAAGACAGAUGUGAAAUCCCCGGGCUCAACCUGGGAACUGCAUUUGUGACUGCAUGGCUGGAGUACGGCAGAGGGGGAUGGAAUUCCGCGUGUAGCAGUGAAAUGCGUAGAUAUGCGGAGGAACACCGAUGGCGAAGGCAAUCCCCUGGGCCUGUACUGACGCUCAUGCACGAAAGCGUGGGGAGCAAACAGG